AAGUCGUAACAAGGUUUCCGUAGGUGAACCUGCGGAAGGAUCAUUAAAUAAUCAAUAAUUUUGGCUUGUCCAUCAUUAUCUAUUUACUGUGAACUGUAUUAUUACUUGACGCUUGAGGGAUGUUCCAUUGCUAUAAGGAUAGGCAUUGGAAAUGUUAACCGAGUCAUAAUCAAGCUUAGGCUUGGUAUCCUAUUAUUAUUUACCAAAAGAAUUCAGAAUUAAUAUUGUAACAUAGACGUAAAAAAUCUAUAAAACAACUUUUAACAACGGAUCUCUUGGUUCUC
This 284-nucleotide unclassified non-coding RNA is filed under the name Mucor bainieri. Its description in RNAcentral is "partial internal transcribed spacer region". The stretch from base 1 to 46 matches the Rfam family "Eukaryotic small subunit ribosomal RNA", at positions 1786 to 1831 of the family's 1831-position model. The record is from RNAcentral. Lineage: Eukaryota; Fungi; Mucoromycota; Mucoromycetes; Mucorales; Mucoraceae.